UAGGGAAUCUUCCACAAUGGACGCAAGUCUGAUGGAGCAACGCCGCGUGAGUGAAGAAGGUUUUCGGAUCGUAAAGCUCUGUUGUUGGUGAAGAAGGAUAGAGGCAGUAACUGGUCUUUAUUUGACGGUAAUCAACCAGAAAGUCACGGCUAACUACGUGCCAGCAGCCGCGGUAAUACGUAGGUGGCAAGCGUUGUCCGGAUUUAUUGGGCGUAAAGCGAGCGCAGGCGGAAUGAUAAGUCUGAUGUGAAAGCCCACGGCUCAACCGUGGAACUGCAUCGGAAACUGUCAUUCUUGAGUGCAGAAGAGGAGAGUGGAAUUCCAUGUGUAGCGGUGGAAUGCGUAGAUAUAUAGAAGGACACCCGUUGGGAAGGGGGCUCUCUGGUCUGCAACUGACGCUGAGGCUCGAAAGCAUGGGUAGCUAACAGG
Molecule: ribosomal RNA, 429 nt
Filed under: bacterium
Lineage: Bacteria
Description: partial 16S ribosomal RNA
Rfam family: Bacterial small subunit ribosomal RNA
Source: RNAcentral